This 68-nucleotide transfer RNA is filed under the name bovine gut metagenome. It matches the Rfam family "tRNA". From Rfam's summary of the family: Transfer RNA (tRNA) molecules are approximately 80 nucleotides in length. Their secondary structure includes four short double-helical elements and three loops (D, anti-codon, and T loops). Further hydrogen bonds mediate the characteristic L-shaped molecular structure. tRNAs have two regions of fundamental functional importance: the anti-codon, which is responsible for specific mRNA codon recognition, and the 3' end, to which the tRNAs corresponding amino acid is attached (by aminoacyl-tRNA synthetases). tRNAs cope with the degeneracy of the genetic code in two manners: having more than one tRNA (with a specific anti-codon) for a particular amino acid; and 'wobble' base-pairing, i.e. permitting non-standard base-pairing at the 3rd anti-codon position. The record is from RNAcentral.
CAAUGUGGCGCAGUCGGUAGCGCAACUGAUUCGUAAUCAGUAGGUCAGGAGUUCGAAUCUCCUCAUUG